UACGUAGGUCCCGAGCGUUGUCUGGAUUUAUUGGGCGUAAAGCGAGCGCAGGUGGUUUAUUAAGUCUGGUGUAAAAGGCAGUGGCUCAACCAUUGUAUGCAUUGGAAACUGGUAGACUUGAGUGCAGGAGAGGAGAGUGGAAUUCCAUGUGUAGCGGUGAAAUGCGUAGAUAUAUGGAGGAACACCGGUGGCGAAAGCGGCUCUCUGGCCUGUAACUGACACUGAGGCUCGAAAGCAUGGGGAGCAAACAGG
This 252-nucleotide ribosomal RNA is filed under the name uncultured bacterium. Its description in RNAcentral is "partial 16S ribosomal RNA". It matches the Rfam family "Bacterial small subunit ribosomal RNA", at positions 524 to 776 of the family's 1533-position model. The record is from RNAcentral.